CGGCGCCGAGGUGGGAGAUCGCUCGGUUGACACCCGAGCGGUCGCAGGUUCGAAUCCUGCUGCGCCGG
This 68-nucleotide transfer RNA is filed under the name Actinokineospora alba. Its description in RNAcentral is "Alloactinosynnema alba tRNA". It matches the Rfam family "tRNA". From Rfam's summary of the family: Transfer RNA (tRNA) molecules are approximately 80 nucleotides in length. Their secondary structure includes four short double-helical elements and three loops (D, anti-codon, and T loops). The record is from Rfam by way of RNAcentral. Lineage: Bacteria; Bacillati; Actinomycetota; Actinomycetes; Pseudonocardiales; Pseudonocardiaceae.